RNAcentral lists this antisense RNA (75 nucleotides) under Embleya hyalina. RNAcentral's name for it is "ASpks TB sRNA". It matches the Rfam family "ASpks TB sRNA". Lineage: Bacteria; Bacillati; Actinomycetota; Actinomycetes; Kitasatosporales; Streptomycetaceae. The record is from RNAcentral.
UUUCACCGAGCCGAGCAGCAGCGGCCGAUCGGCGGCCCGCUCCCGGCCGUACGUGGCAAGCAGCGCCUGCGCCUC